UUCCAUAGCUAAAAGCCAAUU
Molecule: non-coding RNA, 21 nt
Organism: Caenorhabditis elegans
Lineage: Eukaryota; Metazoa; Nematoda; Chromadorea; Rhabditida; Rhabditidae
Source: Ensembl